AACCGGGGGAACUGAAACAUCUAAGUACCCCGAGGAAAAGAAAUCAACCGAGAUUCCCCCAGUAGCGGCGAGCGAACGGGGAGCAGCCCAGAGCCUGAAUCAGUGUGUGUGUUAGUGGAAGCGUCUGGAAAGGCGCGCGAUACAGGGUGACAGCCCCGUACACAAAAAUGCACAUGCUGUGAGCUCGAUGAGUAGGGCGGGACACGUGGUAUCCUGUCUGAAUAUGGGGGGACCAUCCUCCAAGGCUAAAUACUCCUGACUGACCGAUAGUGAACCAGUACCGUGAGGGAAAGGCGAAAAGAACCCCGGCGAGGGGAGUGAAAAAGAACCUGAAACCGUGUACGUACAAGCAGUGGGAGCACGCUUAGGCGUGUGACUGCGUACCUUUUGUAUAAUGGGUCAGCGACUUAUAUUCUGUAGCAAGGUUAACCGAAUAGGGGAGCCGAAGGGAAACCGAGUCUUAACUGGGCGUUAAGUUGCAGGGUAUAGACCCGAAACCCGGUGAUCUAGCCAUGGGCAGGUUGAAGGUUGGGUAACACUAACUGGAGGACCGAACCGACUAAUGUUGAAAAAUUAGCGGAUGACUUGUGGCUGGGGGUGAAAGGCCAAUCAAACCGGGAGAUAGCUGGUUCUCCCCGAAAGCUAUUUAGGUAGCGCCUCGUGAAUUCAUCUCCGGGGGUAGAGCACUGUUUCGGCAAGGGGGUCAUCCCGACUUACCAACCCGAUGCAAACUGCGAAUACCGGAGAAUGUUAUCACGGGAGACACACGGCGGGUGCUAACGUCCGUCGUGAAGAGGGAAACAACCCAGACCGCCAGCUAAGGUCCCAAAGUCAUGGUUAAGUGGGAAACGAUGUGGGAAGGCCCAGACAGCCAGGAUGUUGGCUUAGAAGCAGCCAUCAUUUAAAGAAAGCGUAAUAGCUCACUGGUCGAGUCGGCCUGCGCGGAAGAUGUAACGGGGCUAAACCAUGCACCGAAGCUGCGGCAGCGACGCUUAUGCGUUGUUGGGUAGGGGAGCGUUCUGUAAGCCUGUGAAGGUGUGCUGUGAGGCAUGCUGGAGGUAUCAGAAGUGCGAAUGCUGACAUAAGUAACGAUAAAGCGGGUGAAAAGCCCGCUCGCCGGAAGACCAAGGGUUCCUGUCCAACGUUAAUCGGGGCAGGGUGAGUCGACCCCUAAGGCGAGGCCGAAAGGCGUAGUCGAUGGGAAACAGGUUAAUAUUCCUGUACUUGGUGUUACUGCGAAGGGGGGACGGAGAAGGCUAUGUUGGCCGGGCGACGGUUGUCCCGGUUUAAGCGUGUAGGCUGGUUUUCCAGGCAAAUCCGGAAAAUCAAGGCUGAGGCGUGAUGACGAGGCACUACGGUGCUGAAGCAACAAAUGCCCUGCUUCCAGGAAAAGCCUCUAAGCAUCAGGUAACAUCAAAUCGUACCCCAAACCGACACAGGUGGUCAGGUAGAGAAUACCAAGGCGCUUGAGAGAACUCGGGUGAAGGAACUAGGCAAAAUGGUGCCGUAACUUCGGGAGAAGGCACGCUGAUAUGUAGGUGAAGUCCCUCGCGGAUGGAGCUGAAAUCAGUCGAAGAUACCAGCUGGCUGCAACUGUUUAUUAAAAACACAGCACUGUGCAAACACGAAAGUGGACGUAUACGGUGUGACGCCUGCCCGGUGCCGGAAGGUUAAUUGAUGGGGUCAGCGCAAGCGAAGCUCUUGAUCGAAGCCCCGGUAAACGGCGGCCGUAACUAUAACGGUCCUAAGGUAGCGAAAUUCCUUGUCGGGUAAGUUCCGACCUGCACGAAUGGCGUAAUGAUGGCCAGGCUGUCUCCACCCGAGACUCAGUGAAAUUGAACUCGCUGUGAAGAUGCAGUGUACCCGCGGCAAGACGGAAAGACCCCGUGAACCUUUACUAUAGCUUGACACUGAACAUUGAGCCUUGAUGUGUAGGAUAGGUGGGAGGCUUAGAAGUGUGGACGCCAGUCUGCAUGGAGCCGACCUUGAAAUACCACCCUUUAAUGUUUGAUGUUCUAACGUUGACCCGUAAUCCGGGUUGCGGACAGUGUCUGGUGGGUAGUUUGACUGGGGCGGUCUCCUCCUAAAGAGUAACGGAGGAGCACGAAGGUUGGCUAAUCCUGGUCGGACAUCAGGAGGUUAGUGCAAUGGCAUAAGCCAGCUUGACUGCGAGCGUGACGGCGCGAGCAGGUGCGAAAGCAGGUCAUAGUGAUCCGGUGGUUCUGAAUGGAAGGGCCAUCGCUCAACGGAUAAAAGGUACUCCGGGGAUAACAGGCUGAUACCGCCCAAGAGUUCAUAUCGACGGCGGUGUUUGGCACCUCGAUGUCGGCUCAUCACAUCCUGGGGCUGAAGUAGGUCCCAAGGGUAUGGCUGUUCGCCAUUUAAAGUGGUACGCGAGCUGGGUUUAGAACGUCGUGAGACAGUUCGGUCCCUAUCUGCCGUGGGCGCUGGAGAACUGAGGGGGGCUGCUCCUAGUACGAGAGGACCGGAGUGGACGCAUCACUGGUGUUCGGGUUGUCAUGCCAAUGGCACUGCCCGGUAGCUAAAUGCGGAAGAGAUAAGUGCUGAAAGCAUCUAAGCACGAAACUUGCC
This 2592-nucleotide ribosomal RNA is filed under the name Escherichia coli. RNAcentral's name for it is "partial 23S ribosomal RNA". It matches the Rfam family "Bacterial large subunit ribosomal RNA", at positions 181 to 2798 of the family's 2925-position model. Lineage: Bacteria; Pseudomonadati; Pseudomonadota; Gammaproteobacteria; Enterobacterales; Enterobacteriaceae. The record is from RNAcentral.